CGGACCCCCAACGGCCGCCACAGAGCGCCGCGCUCCCCUCAACGCAGGGCGGGCGGACUCACCGAGGCGCAGGGGCUGGAGGUGGCGCUGGGGGUUUGGCUGAGUGCAGGGGCUGCUGUUUCAUUCCUCAUUUUGAGAAAUAGGGACUUUUGACAGCGCUGGACUUAACAGACCUUGAAUGUGAAGGUAAACCUGUCACCGGGCACCUGUGGA
This is a long non-coding RNA of Lagopus muta (rock ptarmigan), 213 nucleotides long. RefSeq lists it as uncharacterized. The record is from RefSeq and is a predicted model, not a curated record. The transcript has 3 exons. Lineage: Eukaryota; Metazoa; Chordata; Aves; Galliformes; Phasianidae.